ACGGAGGCAGCAGUGGGGAAUAUUGGGCAAUGGGCGAAAGCCUGACCCAGCGACGCCGCGUGAAGGAAGACGGUCCUCGGAUUGUAAACUUCUUUUAUGUAGGACGAAAAAAAUGACGGUACUACAUGAAUAAGCCACGGCUAACUACGUGCCAGCAGCCGCGGUAAUACGUAGGUGGCGAGCGUUAUCCGGAUUUACUGGGUGUAAAGGGUGUGUAGGCGGGACUGCAAGUCAGAUGUGAAAAUCACGGGCUUAACUCGUGACCUGCAUGUGAAACUGUGGUUCUUGAGGGUCGGAGAGGUAACUGGAAUUCCUGGUGUAGCGGUGAAAUGCGUAGAUAUCAGGAGGAACACCGGUGGCGAAGGCGGGUUACUGGACGAUUACUGACGCUGAGACACGAAAGCGUGGGGAGCAAACAGGAUUAGAUACCCUGGUA
RNAcentral lists this ribosomal RNA (436 nucleotides) under uncultured Oscillospiraceae bacterium. RNAcentral describes it as "partial 16S ribosomal RNA". It matches the Rfam family "Bacterial small subunit ribosomal RNA", at positions 341 to 792 of the family's 1533-position model. The record is from RNAcentral. Lineage: Bacteria; Bacillati; Bacillota; Clostridia; Eubacteriales; Oscillospiraceae.